GCGUCAGUAUUCAGCUGUCAGAGGUGAAAUUCUUGGAUUUGCUGAAGACUAACUUAGGAUAGCAUUCGCCAAGGAUGUUUUCAUUAAUCAGGGAACGAAAGUUAGGGGAUCGAAGACGAUCAGAUACCGUCGUAGUCUUAACCAUAAACUAUGCCGACUAGGGAUCGGACGGGAUUCUAUGAUGACCCGUUCGGCACCUUACGAGAAAUCAAAGUUUUUGGGUUCUGGGGGGAGUAUGGUCGCAAGGCUGAAACUUAAAGAAAUUGACGGAAGGGCACCACAAGGCGUGGAGCCUGCGGCUUAAUUUGACUCAA
This 314-nucleotide ribosomal RNA is filed under the name Penicillium decumbens. RNAcentral's name for it is "SSU rRNA". It matches the Rfam family "Eukaryotic small subunit ribosomal RNA", at positions 888 to 1203 of the family's 1831-position model. The record is from RNAcentral. Lineage: Eukaryota; Fungi; Ascomycota; Eurotiomycetes; Eurotiales; Aspergillaceae.